Non-coding RNA from Suricata suricatta (meerkat), 381 nucleotides. The record is from the annotation of a RefSeq genome assembly. Lineage: Eukaryota; Metazoa; Chordata; Mammalia; Carnivora; Herpestidae.
AUGGAGUUCUUUCUUGGCUGGGUUUUCCUUGUUGCUGUUUUAAAAGGUGUCCAGUGUGAGGUGCAGCUGGUGGAGUCUGGGGGAGGCCUGGCAAAGCCUGGGGGCUCCCUGCGACUCUCCUGCGCAGCCUCAGGAUUCAGCUUUGGAGGCUACUACAUGAAAUGGGUCCGCCAGGCUCCAGAGAAGGGGCUGGAGUGGGUCUCAUAUAUUAGUAGUAGUGGAAGGAACACAGGCUACGCAGACUCCGUGAAGGGCCAAUUCACCAUCUCCAGAGACAACGCCAAGAACACGCUCUAUCUGCAGAUGGACAGCCUGAGAGUCGAGGACACGGCCAUGUAUUUCUGUUCCCAGAAGGGGCUCCUUGGUGGCUCAGUCGGUUAA